AAGAUUUUUCUUCAUGAUUGGGAUCACUAUCCUCUCUUUUAUUCUGACAUCUCCACCGACAUAGCUUGGUUGGGGUGGCCUCAUGUCCACCCAUUUGGUAUUUUGGCUUCUAUGUCUUCCCCUUCUUCAGAGGCUUCAUAAUAUCUGAAUACCUCUGAUAAACCCUUUGGUUGAGAAUCUUCUCCUAACCUUUGGAAAACAUCUCUGGAGGUCUCUUUCUCAGCUGCCCGCAUGAUACUUUUGUGGUCCUUUUGCUCUUCUUUCUCCUUCUUCCUAAUCAACUCUUGAUUAAUAAUAACUCCUGAAGCUGGGACUUCCAACUCACAUUCACACUGACAUUUUCUACAUAACACCAACCCUUUAAUUAUGGCUGUUUUGGGUUUCUCGGGCAACUUGAUAGUUCAUUCAGUAGCCCUAUCAUUUGGUCGCCUUUCAGCCUUUGCUUCCCACGUGGCUUUUCCUUUUCCUUUCUCAGCCCAAGCCAAGUUGAUCAUGUUAAUUAGGGCUUCUGGGAAAGGAUCUAUGUCAAUCAUCAUAUUGGCCUAGGGUUUUUCCAACAACAACUUUCCCUUGACUAUGAGGUCUUGUAUCAAAUCCCUGAAUUUGACACAGUUGGCUAUAGAGUGGUUAAAAGUGUAGUGUAGUGCAGCUUGCAAUACUUCUUUCCCCUUAUCUCUUCUGACUUAAACAUCUUUUUGGUGCUAUCGGGCACAAUCAUUCUUGCCCGCACCAACUCUUCAUAGAUCUCUGAGGCCUUGGUUAGAUCAAAAGAAUAACUCUGGAAUUUAGGGGGUUUCAUAUGGACAAAUCCACCAUAAUUCAUUACCACUUUCUGAUCCUUGACUGGUUGGACUAAACCUUUCACUAUUAAAAGUUUAAAGGGGGUAGUCAUCUCUGCCUCACAUAUGUCCAUCCCUUCUCUUCCAUGGCCAUCAUUUUGUUCUGGCUUAACUCCUUCAAAAUCCAGUUGGUGAAUUGCAGCUUUAUUUUUGUAAAAAUAAAGAGCCUUGGAUGAAUGUUUCACUUGUUGUUCUUCAAGUAAUAGGUCUUCAUACUUGUUGCAGCAAUUACCAACUCUUGCAACUCAUUAAAUUGUACAUCAUAAAACGUUUUCCUCAAAGGUAGCCUUAAAGCUUUAUGAGCAAUGGAUAUGAGUUGGGCAUGAUUGAUAGGGAAUUGUCACCUCAUUCUUGUCCUUCUGAACCUCAUCAUGAAGUCCUCUGUAGACUCAUGUUCAUAUUGCUUCACCUCCACUAAGUCAUUGAUAAACAUCUCGGGCUCCAUUUUAUAGAAUUGUUCAUGGAAAGCCAUCUAUUUGCCCCCAGUUAGCAAUAGAAUUAGGAGGCAAAAAAGAGUACCACUGAGAUGCUAGACCCACCAACGAGUUCCCAAACAAUCUUAACUUAUAAUUAAGAUUGUCCUUGAAUGCCAGCAAUGGUUGGAGAACUUAAAAAUGUGAUCUCUACAGGACACACUGCCAUUUUCUCCAUUAAAAGUGGGGAACGUGGGCAUCUUGAAGUUGAGUGGAAACAGAUUCUGCUCAUCGAUAUGCUCGGGGUAUGGCUUCUAGUAAGUGAUCCUGAACAGCGGACGAGCUUAAGGUUGAGCAUUCUGGGCCACCAUCCUUCUUAACUCACCUAACUCAUCUCUGAGCUGCUGGUUGGCUGUAUUAUUGUAUGGGGGAUGUGAGGUUUCCUAUUUUGGGCUGUGAUCAUUGCCCGAGAAGGUUUCCUUUCUUGGGUCAAGCUGUCUCUACUUGGCAUCCCCUUCCUUACUGACCAAUGGUAGGGGCCUAUAAGGAGAAUGGUUGUCUACCUUGGUAGGCUCACCUUUUCCACUAGAUUCUCCGAUUACCUAAGGCAUCCCAUACUUCGUUCUUUCUUUUCGCUCUACCCCUACUAUCUAGUGGAAAUAAUAAGGGAUUGAGCAAUUCUAUUUCCAAGAUCUUCUCCAACAUUGGGUGACUAGCUGUAGAUCCUUCCUUAUAUUUUCCCUUUAUCCCUCAUUUCCUCAAGCACAGGAAAUAGGGGGAUAACUGGUUCUUUCUCAGGGUUCUCUUGCCUCAUCACUUCCCUGGCAUAACCAUUUUUUGGAUUAGAGUACUCCAGAUCUAAUCUUCUUUGCAGACUCUCUGUUAAGGAACAAAGUCUGCUUACUUCUCCUCUGGUUUCCAGAGUGAUCUUUUCCAUACUUUUCAACACUUGUACCAUGGUGGCUUGCAAAUCUUCAUUGGUCACUUUCCUUCUUAACUUCUCAGAUGAAGUCGGGCUUCUAGAAUAACUGGUCUUUGCAAGGAAGGAAAAUCUUCUGGAUGAUUUGUCAUGCUCGAUCUUGGUAGACACUAGGGUGGCACGUAUUUUAUGUUCCACCUGAAGGUUUUCUCCGUCCUUCUUCUUCUUGGCAUACAAGAUUAACUAAGGUCCCACCGACGUGCCAAAACUAUGUUUAGGCAAAGAUUUCUCUAGGGAAUGAUCCUAGGACCUUAGCACAACUCCCCAAGGGAUUGGCAAUUUGGAUGAGUAGUCGGGCUCGUGCUUGUUGAUGUUCUACAAGAAGAGGACAAAGUCAAUUCUAAAAGGUGCCUUUGUGUGGGGCCUUAUGUGUAGGCCUUGAGGCUUACAAUCAAAACUAAUUGAGUGCUAGGCAUGCCACUGCUAUCUUAGUAUAGCAGAUGUAGAACAAGAGUGUGUUUAGUCGAUUACUUGCACCCCAAGUUACCCAGACUUCUUGUUAUCAAAGGAUUGUUGUAGAUGCGUUAAGUCUACAUUAAGUUCUUUUUCUUGCCUUGUAAACAAGGACUUUUAGUUCAUAGUCUUGUAUGUUUGAAUGAAGGGAGUCCAAAUCCCUUUAAGUCAUUUGUUUGAUCCUAGAUUGCUUUCAAUGAUAACAUAUUCAUUAAACUAGCCAGAUCCAAAUGCAAAUAAGACUCUUAAAGUAGGAAAGCAGGUGAAAAUAACUUGAAGGGUAAAUCGCCAAAAUGGUCCCUGAGAUUUGCAUAACUCAUCAUUUUGGUCCCUGAGAUUCCAAAUCGAUAAAAGUGGUCCCUGAGAUUGUCCACCAUCCAUCAUUUUGAUCCUUCCGUUAAAAUCUCCGUUAAGUGUCUUGGAGCUCUUGGCCAGAAGUUUGGGCAAUUUUCAAAGCUUCGUAACUCAAUCGUUGCUUAACCAAAUUUGACCCAUAAUAUAUCAAAAUCAAGAUAGGAAAGUGUAGAAUAAUAUUAUAACUAUUUCGAAGCCCAAUGGUUGCCGAAGAGGGCCGGAACAUAGCCUCAAAGUUGGCUGGUCCUAGUGAAAACUUGAAAACUCGCCAGAAACUGGGUAAACUUUAAACGUUUAUAACCUUUUCAAUACUUAACGAAAUCAAGUGAUUCAAAAACAAAAAUCAUACUUCUUGACGAGAUGAAGAGAAUGGUACGUAUUUAGAUGGAUAACUCACCAUGAUUUUGUUGGAAAUGUGCCCUAAAACCAAUCAUAUGAUGAUACUUUACGGACAUUUCACAUGUUAAACUAAUCUAGUUUAAUAUCAAGGGCAAAUAUUAUUGUUUGAGCCGUCUCAUAUAAAUGUUAUACGCUUAAACGAUAAGUCCAAGGAAUAUGUGAUUGGGAGAAUGCGAUCUAAAGAAGUUAGAUUCAUAAGACCAUUCUUUCGUAGAUACAUCCUAAACGUUCCUGAUCAUAGGAUUGCCAAUUGGGCAUUGCCAGUCCGUUAAGAUCAGUACGUGUUGUGUCUUCUCUUAGGGAGAGUGACUAGUCUCGAGUCAUUGGUGUGUGUGACAUCAAG
This 3780-nucleotide long non-coding RNA is filed under the name Malus domestica (apple). RNAcentral's name for it is "long non-coding RNA (MDOM_LNC017552)". Lineage: Eukaryota; Viridiplantae; Streptophyta; Magnoliopsida; Rosales; Rosaceae. The record is from RNAcentral.